UACGUAGGGGGCAAGCGUUGUCCGGAAUCAUUGGGCGUAAAGCGCGCGUAGGCGGCCCGGUGAGUCCGCUGUAAAAGUCAAAGGCUCAACCUUUGAAAGCCGGUGGAAACUGUCGGGCUAGAGUGCGGAAGAGGCGAGUGGAAUUCCUGGUGUAGCGGUGAAAUGCGCAGAUAUCAGGAGGAACACCAAUUGCGAAGGCAGCUCGCUGGGACGUUACUGACGCUGAGACGCGAAAGCGUGGGGAGCAAACAGG
This 253-nucleotide ribosomal RNA is filed under the name uncultured bacterium. Its description in RNAcentral is "partial 16S ribosomal RNA". It matches the Rfam family "Bacterial small subunit ribosomal RNA", at positions 524 to 776 of the family's 1533-position model. The record is from RNAcentral.